AGCUCGUACGGGGGGCAGCAGUAGGGAAUCUUCCACAAUGGACGAAAGUCUGAUGGAGCAACGCCGCGUGAGUGAAGAAGGGUUUCGGCUCGUAAAGCUCUGUUGGUAGUGAAGAAAGAUAGAGGUAGUAACUGGCCUUUAUUUGACGGUAAUUACUUAGAAAGUCACGGCUAACUACGUGCCAGCAGCCGCGGUAAUACGUAGGUGGCAAGCGGUGUCCGGAUUUAUUGGGCGUAAAGCGCGUGCAGGCGGGUUAA
RNAcentral lists this ribosomal RNA (257 nucleotides) under uncultured bacterium. Its description in RNAcentral is "partial 16S ribosomal RNA". It matches the Rfam family "Bacterial small subunit ribosomal RNA", at positions 334 to 583 of the family's 1533-position model. The record is from RNAcentral.